This 386-nucleotide ribosomal RNA is filed under the name uncultured bacterium. RNAcentral describes it as "bacterial SSU rRNA". It matches the Rfam family "Bacterial small subunit ribosomal RNA", at positions 356 to 759 of the family's 1533-position model. The record is from RNAcentral.
CGGGAAUUUUGGGCAAUGGGCGAAAGCCUGACCCAGCAACGCCGCGUGAGGGAUGAAGUAUUUCGGUAUGUAAACCUCGAAAGAAUGGGAAGAAUAAAUGACGGUACCAUUUAUAAGCUCCGGCUAACUCAGUGCCAGCAGCCGCGGUAAUACGAAGGGAGCAAGCGUUGUUCGGAUUUACUGGGCGUAAAGGGCGCGUAGGCGGCGCGGUAAGUCACUUGUGAAAUCUCUGAGCUUAACUCAGAACGGCCAAGUGAUACUGCUGGGCUAGAGUGCGGAAGAGGACACCGGAAUUCUUGGUGUAGCGGUGAAAUGCGUAGAUAUCAAGAGGAACACCUGAGGCGAAGGCGGGUUGCUGGGCCGACACUGACGCUGAUGCGCGAAAG